Non-coding RNA from Candidatus Burkholderia humilis, 154 nucleotides. NCBI's taxonomy places the organism in Bacteria, Pseudomonadati, Pseudomonadota, Betaproteobacteria, Burkholderiales, Burkholderiaceae. The record is from Rfam.
GUCGUCGCGAGGCGGGGUCUGAAGGAAGCGUGUAGCAAAGGCCACGACCUGACGAACAGAAACCAGAUACGAGGCCUACCCGGUCGGACGAGCAAGCAGAUGAUUGCGAAGUCCAUAGCCAUCAAGGUGGAGGUGGCGUGCGCAAGCUCGGCAU